CGCCGCAGCGUCAAGGCAAAAGUGCCCGAUUGACGAUUCAUUAAUGAGGCGUCGAGAGGAAUGGAGCGUCGUCGGUCGGCGGCAGCGCCGACGCGCCGGAUAUUUGUGCUCUCUUGUGCGUUCCACGGCCGAAGAGACGUCGCCGAGCGUCGGGCCGACUGUCAUGCCGAGUGUCGACCGUCGACAGCCACGCCAGAGCAGGCGAGCGAGCACGUGUCUGAGGGUGCCACCACGAUGCCGCCGGAGGUGGAGGAAGCAUCGCGCCCCCUCGGCCUCCUGCGUCGGGGAGGAGGCAGACCAGAAAUAGCAGCUAACUUGGGCGCAUCCAUCCCGACGACGCUGCGCUGCUCUCGCACCGUCUAGUGGAAAGAGGCAGGUGCUUUCGCGCCGCUCCAAAACGCUCCGCUGCACCUGACGCUAGGAGCCGGCCGGCAGGGUGACCUUUUUAGGUCUUUGGCUGUCGUCUGCAAGCUGGAGAAGACCCGCGCUGACGUGACUAUGUGCUCAAGCGAGUUGCACCGACGUGUCAAUGAUCUAAUAACAAGUCCCCGCGGCCGGCCCAGCCCCACUGCCCGACGCGUGUUUGCUCCAGCACUCAACGCACGCGUGAUAAAUAUCCAGUCUUACGGGCUCGGCAGCCCUCAUCCUCACGCUCAAUGAACCCCCUUCUCCACGUUCGCCGUCUGCUGCGUCAGGGUGGAUGAUCAGGGUUCUCCACUAUCAACCGCACACUCUCCUACUCCACCUCCUCCUCCUCCUCUCUUUCUCCAAAGCCCGUUCGUUUUUCGUUCCUCUACAGACCGCUGCUCUCUCUCUCUCUCUCUCUCUCUCUCUCUCUCUCUCUCUCUCUCUCUCUCUCUCUCUCUCUCUCUCUCUCUCUCUCUCGCUCUUUCUCUUUCCAUUCAAGAAGAGUUGUGGAAUGCGAGGAAGCGUGGCAACCUCGCCUGCCUUCGACACUUUACUCAGGGAAUAUUUUCUGAGCUUCCAGCACUUCUUCUUUUACUUACCUGUGCACAUUCCAUCGCUGCCGCCGGUCGUGAAAGGAGGACCCUUUCAUAUCUCGCCGCUCGCUCCCGACGCUGAUCUCGGCUUGGGCUACCUCUCCCUUCAUCACCCUCCCCCGCUCUGGUCGUGGAGGAAGCUGCACUACCCUGCCGGUAAAACACCCUCAGUUGCCCGAAACAGGUGAAGAGCUAAGGCGAGAGUGCGUGCUCGCUCCACUUUGGGCAUUCCUGCGCGCCGACCACACCCAUCCGCGAUCGCAGUCAGGUCGCGUCGACCUUUUUCGGCGUUCGGCGUUCUCCGAAAACGCGUUUUCAGUCGGUUCUUUUAUUUCAGCGGCUGGGCAGCGUUGCUGGCUCGACAAUAGCGGUUUUAAUGCAACAGCAGGUACGCCUCCUCCGGUUACACCUACUGUACGAGAGCGGGCAUGAUAAAAUCCAACCAACCUGCUGCUAUAUAUGUACGUAUGUGCUCGCUCGCUUUAGUUAGGCGCCUGAUGGUGGGAAUGGAAUGCUCGUAUCUCGCUUGUAUUUUGUGGGAGGGAUUUAUUUCCACACACACACACACACACACACACACACUCGUUCUCGAAGGCUGUGUCUGUACGAAUGUAAGUACCUACCUGUACAUUUGUCCUUUUAUUCUUUUGCUCGGCAGCGGCAUAAAGACCGAAAUUAAUUCUCGUAAGGAUAAAAAAACACGCUAUUCACAGACCAUGGGAACAUUCGCGCGCUGGGAACUCUCGCUUUCUUUGGGUCUCGCCGCAGCCGGAAAACGGGGGGUGGGCGGCGGCUGGCGGUUGGGAACGCGGGCAGCAUCCACCCCACGCCGGAAUUUUGAUCUGGGUGCCGACCCCCGGCCAGCUUAGCACUCGUCCCGAGGAUAACAGCGAGCGCGCACGGGACCACCCGUGCGCCUUCGUCCAUUUUUUACUCAUAACCGCGGCGGCAGCUCGGUGUGCGGUCCCGGAGCGGUGCCGCCGCGGCAAAAAGCACCAGUUGACACCUCUCGGGGCCGCAGACUCGCGCUUACAGCCAUGUCACAAAGGUAUCGACUGUUGUGUCAAACGUCGGGCUGCAACGGGCAGGGCGCGGCAGAGAGCAGCACUGCCGUCCCGAUGGCCGGCCGGCCGCUGAGCCGACCGGCGAAGAAGGAGCGGGUACACGGACGGAGCCAAUGAACACAUAGGAAUGUCUCUUGAGCUCUCUGCUGAGGAUACAUUCUCACGCUCGGAGAGAUCAGCCAGCCGAGCCGAGCAGCCCAGGCAGGCCGAAAGACUCGCUCGCUCUCUAGCUCGGCGCUCGCUGUUGGGCUGGUCGAGUAGGAGCGCCCACAACUCGUGUGUGUGUGUGCGCGCGUUGUGUGUAUGCCUCCCCUUGGUGCAUCGGUGACUUCGACUCUUUAUUGGGCCGCGCCCUUUACCCUCCAGCCGUCCUUUAAUCUCUGCUCGAGACGCGCUCAAGUUUGCUCGCACGCGGCCUUUGCCGAGUGCUUUGCCCUCUUCUCCAGCGGUGGGCUCUUUUGGGUUUCUUUCGCCCCCGCUCGCCCUCCCAUCACGCUCGCGGGGGUUGCAAAUCUCAAUGGACCAUUGAACAAAUCAUCUAGGCUCUCGAUUCAUAGAGCGGGUGGUGGAAAUAGUUUAAUGUCCUGAACCCCUGCGGCGCACCUCCCUCCGCUAGGGGUGCGCAUUCCCGCAGAGACUUUAAUGCGUGCAGCUACAUUUUUAAAGGAAAAACGAUAAACACCCUGUGUGCCACGUCGGCGGGCCGAAAGUUGGUUUCCCAUAGGUUGUGCGGACAAACAGGAUUCUCCCAUCCGCUUUCCUCCCCCCAAGCUUAGGGGUUGUGUCCUUUUACCCAGGUAGAGAGCUGUGUUCAUUAUUCUCAUAUUGUGCGGCCCCUCAUUUUGCAUUUCUCAGAAACUCUUUUGUGCUGGCGGCUUGAAAAAGCGCGUCGAUGCCCCUUUGUUGCAGGUAAAGUUGGUUUAUUUCCCACCCUGCCAGUCGAGCAGAGCAGAAGAAUCUGGUCGGCUAUGGAAGCAGGCAGGCAGGGUAGGUAGCGCGCGCGCGUUGUUGCUCCGCAAUCUGUACUUCUUGGUUCUUGUGAGCAAGUGCGGCGGCGAUCGGCCACAUAAGCAGCAGCAUUCCUUUCAAGGCAAGGAGGGAUAAAAAGAGAAGAAGUUGUACUUUAGGCUCGUGGGAAUGGACGCAAAACCUACCGGCAGCUCUUUAUCUGCCUAAAUAAGAGAGUGAGCGAGCAAGCAAGAGAAAGAAUCGCCGCCGCACGGCUCAGCAGCAAUGGAUCUCCUCUUCUCGCCGCAUGUUAAUAUAUUGUUUAAAUCCCCCUGCGCGCUCUCUUUCUUGUCUUUUCCUCCCGUGUCCCCCUCGCGUAUGAAUAUUUUUUAUCUCGCAUAAUGCGGUGUGUUGUUAUAUUUUCUUGACUAAUGCGCCGAUCGCCGCCCCUUAAUGUGGUGUUGCGCAGCGGCAGUCUUGUUUCCAGCUUUGUCCGCGGCCAGCGACACUCACCCCUUCUGCACUUGAAUAGAAGAAUUAAGGAGCUGCCGCUACCACUCCUUCCUUGUUAGCAGACCAGGUGGCAUCAUCCCCAGCUCCGGCUGCAGCUCACGAAACUGGCUUUCUCAGUGAUCUUCCAGAUGCAUUUUUAAUUCUGAGAUCAUUGUGAAAG
Long non-coding RNA from Cloeon dipterum, 3686 nucleotides. RefSeq lists it as uncharacterized. The transcript is spliced from 3 exons. The record is from RefSeq and is a predicted model, not a curated record. Lineage: Eukaryota; Metazoa; Arthropoda; Insecta; Ephemeroptera; Baetidae.